UGGAACCUCGGGGGGCAGCAGUGAGGAAUAUUGGUCAAUGGCCGCAGGGCUGAACCAGCCAAGUCGCGUGAGGGAUGACGGUCCUAUGGAUUGUAAACCUCUUUUGUCAGGGAGCAAAGGGCGCCACGUGUGGCGCUUUGCGAGUACCUGAAAAAAAAGCAUCGGCUAACUCCGUGCCAGCAGCCGCGGUAAUACGGAGGAUGCGAGCGUUAUCCGGAUUUAUUGGGUUUAAAGGGUGCGCAGGCGGAAUG
This 251-nucleotide ribosomal RNA is filed under the name uncultured bacterium. RNAcentral's name for it is "partial 16S ribosomal RNA". It matches the Rfam family "Bacterial small subunit ribosomal RNA", at positions 331 to 582 of the family's 1533-position model. The record is from RNAcentral.